Molecule: long non-coding RNA, 346 nt
Filed under: Bos taurus (domestic cattle)
Lineage: Eukaryota; Metazoa; Chordata; Mammalia; Artiodactyla; Bovidae
Description: long non-coding RNA NONBTAT011343
Source: RNAcentral
CAUGGGUAUAUAUCAAAAAAGAAAGAAAGGAAAAGUGACCCCAUUAUGCACUUGCUUCUUUGAACUUUAACCUCAUCUUGCAAAUAGGCAGACCUCCUUAUCUGUGAUAAAUCUAAUCAGGAAGUGCUGGAGAUAGUUUUGCAACUAUUUUGCAACACAAUCCUGCAUCUUUCUGCCUCCCUUGAAAACACCAUGUCAUAUCCCUCAAAAUUCAUAACACUUGGGUUAAAAUUUUGAAAAAGCAAAAGAACAAAAUAGAAAUCCAUGAACUGUAUCUACCACAUUCCACCAAGCAAAGACCCUGAUGCCAGAAUGUCUAAAAGCCACUGUUAAUUCCUUCUCUACU